AGAGUUUGAUCCUGGCUCAGGAUGAACGUUGGCGGUGUGCCUAAUACAUGCAAGUCGAACGGUGAUCUUUUUGUAGUAAUACGAAUUGGUCAUAGUGGCGAACGGGUGAGUAACGCGUUGGUGAUCUGCCUCGAAGUGUGGAAUAACGUUCCGAAAGGAACGCUAAUACCGCAUGUGCUCUCAGUCUUUAGAAAGUUGAGAGUAAAGGAUUUAUUCGCUUCGAGAGGAGCCUGCGUCCCAUCAGCUAGUUGGUAGGGUAAUAGCCUACCAAGGCUUUGACGGGUAGGGGACCUGAGAGGGUGGCCCCCCACAAUGGAACUGAAACACGGUCCAUACACCUACGGGUGGCAGCAGUAGGGAAUAUUAGAAAUGGACGAAAGUCUGAUCUAGCGACACCGCGUGUGCGAAGAAGGCCUUCGGGUUGUAAAGCACUUUUUGGAAGGAAUAGGAAGGAAGGUACUUCCAGAAUAAGUCUCGGCUAACUACGUGCCAGCAGCCGCGGUAACACGUAGGAGGCAAACGUUAUCCGGAUUUACUGGGCGUAAAGCGCGUGUAGGUGGUUUUGUAAGUAGGGCGUGAAAGCUCCCGGCUCAACUGGGAGAGGCCGUUCUAAACUGCAGAACUAGAGGAUGGUAGAGGGAGGUGGAAUUCCAGGUGUAGCGGUGGAAUGCGCAGAUAUCUGGAGGAACACCAGUGGCGAAAGCGGCCUCCUGGACCAUUCCUGACACUCAGACGCGAAAGCUAGGGUAGCAAACGGGAUUAGAGACCCCGGUAGUCCUAGCCCUAAACGAUGUAGACUAGACGUCGGUGGUGUAAUAGCUGUCGGUGUCCAAGCUAACGCGAUAAGUCUACCGCCUGGGGACUACGGCCGCAAGGUUAAAACUCAAAGGAAUUGACGGGUCCCCGCACAAGCAGCGGAGCGUGUGGUUUAAUUCGUUGCUACACGAAGAACCUUACCUGGGUUUGACAUAGCAGUGGUAGGGAAGAGAAAUCGGACCGACCCUUCGGGGAGCUGUUAC
RNAcentral lists this ribosomal RNA (1019 nucleotides) under Anaerolineaceae bacterium UBA4890. RNAcentral describes it as "bacterial SSU rRNA". It matches the Rfam family "Bacterial small subunit ribosomal RNA", at positions 8 to 1035 of the family's 1533-position model. Lineage: Bacteria; Bacillati; Chloroflexota; Anaerolineae; Anaerolineales; Anaerolineaceae. The record is from RNAcentral.